This 468-nucleotide ribosomal RNA is filed under the name uncultured bacterium. RNAcentral's name for it is "partial 16S ribosomal RNA". It matches the Rfam family "Bacterial small subunit ribosomal RNA", at positions 28 to 507 of the family's 1533-position model. The record is from RNAcentral.
GACGAACGCUGGCGGCGUGCUUAACACAUGCAAGUCGAACGGAAAGGCCCUGCUUUUGUGGGGUGCUCGAGUGGCGAACGGGUGAGUAACACGUGAGUAACCUGCCCUUGACUUUGGGAUAACUUCAGGAAACUGGGGCUAAUACCGGAUAGGAGCUCCUGCUGCAUGGUGGGGGUUGGAAAGUUUCGGCGGUUGGGGAUGGACUCGCGGCUUAUCGGCUUGUUGGUGGGGUAGUGGCUUACCAAGGCUUUGACGGGUAGCCGGCCUGAGAGGGUGACCGGCCACAUUGGGACUGAGAUACGGCCCAGACUCCUACGGGAGGCAGCAGUGGGGAAUAUUGCACAAUGGGCGGAAGCCUGAUGCAGCAACGCCGCGUGCGGGAUGACGGCCUUCGGGUUGUAAACCGCUUUCGCCUGUGACGAAGCGUGAGUGGCGGUAAUGGGUAAAGAAGCACCGGCUAACUACGUG